Molecule: transfer RNA, 67 nt
Filed under: Pachycheles rudis
Lineage: Eukaryota; Metazoa; Arthropoda; Malacostraca; Decapoda; Porcellanidae
Description: tRNA-Leu
Source: RNAcentral
GCUAUUUUGGCAGAUUAAAAUGCAUUAGGUUUAGGACCUAAUUAUAUAGUGAAUUCUAUAAAUAGUA